GAUGAACGCUAGCGAUAGGCUUAACACAUGCAAGUCGAGGGGCAGCAUGAUCUUAGCUUGCUAAGAUUGAUGGCGACCGGCGCACGGGUGAGUAACACGUAUGCAACCUACCCACUACAGGGGGAUAGCUCGCUGAAAGGCGAAUUAAUACCGCAUAAUACAGGGAUCUCGCAUGAGAUUAUUUGUUAAAGAAUUUUCGGUAGUGGAUGGGCAUGCGUUCCAUUAGCUAGUUGGUAAGGUAACGGCUUACCAAGGCAACGAUGGAUAGGGGUUCUGAGAGGAAGGUCCCCCACACUGGUACUGAGACACGGACCAGACUCCUACGGGAGGCAGCAGUGAGGAAUAUUGGUCAAUGGGCGAGAGCCUGAACCAGCCAAGUCGCGUGAAGGAUGACUGCCCUAUGGGUUGUAAACUUCUUUUAUAGGGGAAUAAAAAGACUUACGUGUAGGUUAUUGCAUGUACCCUAUGAAUAAGCAUCGGCUAACUCCGUGCCAGCCGCCGCCGUAAUAC
This 510-nucleotide ribosomal RNA is filed under the name uncultured bacterium. RNAcentral's name for it is "bacterial SSU rRNA". It matches the Rfam family "Bacterial small subunit ribosomal RNA", at positions 28 to 526 of the family's 1533-position model. The record is from RNAcentral.